UACGUAGGGUGCAAGCGUUAAUCGGAAUUACUGGGCGUAAAGCGUGCGCAGGCGGCUUUGCAAGACAGAUGUGAAAUCCCCGGGCUUAACCUGGGAAUGGCAUUUGGGACUGCAAGGCUCGAGUGCGGCAGAGGAGACUGGAAUUCCUGGUGUAGCAGUGAAAUGCGUAGAUAUCAGGAGGAACACCGGUGGCGAAGGCGGGUCUCUGGGCCGAUACUGACGCUGAGGAGCGAAAGCGUGGGGAGCGAACAGG
RNAcentral lists this ribosomal RNA (253 nucleotides) under uncultured bacterium. RNAcentral's name for it is "partial 16S ribosomal RNA". It matches the Rfam family "Bacterial small subunit ribosomal RNA", at positions 524 to 776 of the family's 1533-position model. The record is from RNAcentral.